UACGAAGGGGGCUAGCGUUGUUCGGAAUUACUGGGCGUAAAGGGCGCGUAGGCGGCCUGCUAAGUCGAACGUGAAAUCCCCGGGCUCAACCCGGGAACUGCGUCCGAUACUGGCAGGCUUGAAUUCGGGAGAGGGAUGCGGAAUUCCAGGUGUAGCGGUGAAAUGCGUAGAUAUCUGGAGGAACACCGGUGGCGAAGGCGGCCCUCUGGACGGAUACUGACGCUGAGGCGCGAAAGCGUGGGGAUCAAACAGG
Molecule: ribosomal RNA, 253 nt
Filed under: uncultured bacterium
Lineage: Bacteria
Description: partial 16S ribosomal RNA
Rfam family: Bacterial small subunit ribosomal RNA
Source: RNAcentral